This is a long non-coding RNA of Gracilinanus agilis (Agile Gracile Mouse Opossum), 469 nucleotides long. RefSeq lists it as uncharacterized. The record is from RefSeq and is a predicted model, not a curated record. Lineage: Eukaryota; Metazoa; Chordata; Mammalia; Didelphimorphia; Didelphidae. The transcript has 2 exons.
GGCUUCAUUUUCCUUUUUGGAGAGGGUUGGACGAACGAUAAGGUCUCUUCUAGGCUGAAAUCUAUGGUCUUAUUUUUUGAAGACUUUGAGAGGAAUGGGGCCUUGACCAUUCUGGUUUUGGCCUCUGUGGGAGAAGGAAUAGGACAGGGGCUUCAGCUGAAGAAGGAGAAGGACCUGUGAAGGAGAUUUGGAGGGCUUUAGAAUUAAGAAGAAAGAGAUUGAAGCUGGAAGGAGGAGAAAGAUUUAAACUGAAAGAGGACCUAAGGAGAACUCCAAGAGGGAGAGGAAAAUAAGACAAGUGCUUCUCCGUGAUGGGAAGACACCUCACCUGAGAGUCUGAGGAUGCCCUGGAGCUUCCUUGCACACUCUGCGAAGAGACCUUCUCUCCAAAGGCCUUUCUUGAUCUCUGUUUCCCCCUUUCUCUUUUGUUAGUGCUUUCCCUCUCUAUAAAUUACUUUAUAUAACUUCA